GGCGAACGCUGGCGGCAUGCCUAAUACAUGCAAGUUGAACGAUGAUAUUCUCUGUUUGUAGAGAAUUGAAGAGUAGCGCACGGGUGAGUAACACGUGGGGAACCUGCCCAUGAGGGGGGGAUAACAUUCGGAAACGGAUGCUAAUACCGCAUAAUGCUUUGGACCGUCUGGUUCAGAGACGAAAGACGGCUUUUGCUGUCACUCAUGGACGUCCCCGCUCUGUAUUAGCUAGUUGGGUAGGUAAUGGCUCACCAAAGCAGUGAUACGUAGCCGACCUGAGAGGGUGAUCGGCCACACUGGGACUGAGACACGGCCCAGACUCCUACGGGAGGCAGCAGUAGGGAAUCUUCGACAAGGGGCGAAGGCCUGAUGGAGCAAUGCGGGGGGAAUAAAGAAGGUCUUCGGAUCGUAAAGUUCUGUUAUUGGGGAGAAAGAAGUCGAGGGGGAACUGUCUAGACUUUGACGGUACCUAACCAGAAAGGCACGGCUAACUACGUG
Molecule: ribosomal RNA, 498 nt
Filed under: uncultured bacterium
Lineage: Bacteria
Description: partial 16S ribosomal RNA
Rfam family: Bacterial small subunit ribosomal RNA
Source: RNAcentral